Molecule: ribosomal RNA, 265 nt
Filed under: Mantidactylus melanopleura
Lineage: Eukaryota; Metazoa; Chordata; Amphibia; Anura; Mantellidae
Description: partial 16S ribosomal RNA
Source: RNAcentral
GGGUUAAACUGUCUCCUUUUUCAAAUCAGUGAAAUUAAUCUCCCCGUGAAGAAGCGGGGAUGCCCUUAUAAGACGAGAAGACCCCAUGGAGCUUCAAACCCAACUACACCCCUAACUCUUAUAGCCCCACAACCCCCCCCUAGGCUCCGUGUACUUGGUUUUAGGUUGGGGCGACCGCGGAGAACAGUAAAACCUCCACAAUGAAUGGGACCACCCCCUUAUCUAAGAGCCACACCCCUAAGAAUUAGAACACUAACAUAAAAUG